AUUCCAGCUCCAAUAGCGUAUAUUAAAGUUGUUGCAGUUAAUUAGCUCGUUGUUGGUUUUUUUUUUUUCUUUCUUUUCUUUCUCUUCUCUCUUCCUGUCCUGCUGGCCCUUUUUCUCGAGGCCUAUAGGUGCACUUAACCGUGUGUUUAUAGUGUUCGGGACUUUUACCGUGAGAAAAUUAGAGUGUUCAUAGCAGGCUAGUGCUUGAAUAUUACAGCAUGGAAUAAUGGAAUAGGAUCAUGAUCUUAUUUUGUUGGUUUCUAAGAUUAAGAUAAUGAUUAAUAGGGAUAGUUGGGGGCAUUAAUAUUUAGUUGUCAGAGGUGAAAUUCUUAGAUUUACAAAAGAUUAACUUCUGCGAAAGCAUUUGCCAAGGAUGUUUUCAUCA
This 385-nucleotide ribosomal RNA is filed under the name Ichthyosporea sp. RNAcentral's name for it is "partial small subunit ribosomal RNA". It matches the Rfam family "Eukaryotic small subunit ribosomal RNA", at positions 582 to 975 of the family's 1831-position model. Lineage: Eukaryota; Ichthyosporea. The record is from RNAcentral.